This is a long non-coding RNA of Anopheles gambiae (African malaria mosquito), 540 nucleotides long. RefSeq lists it as uncharacterized. The transcript is spliced from 3 exons. Lineage: Eukaryota; Metazoa; Arthropoda; Insecta; Diptera; Culicidae. The record is from RefSeq and is a predicted model, not a curated record.
UCUUCAACGUUUCAACGCCGUAAAGUAUGCAACAUGCAGAACAGAAGCAAUGCUUCACUCGUUCGAAGCAGCUUUAUCCAGCAGAACUUUUGCCCUAAUCUGUCAGAAAAAUGUCCAAUCUCUCGGUGUAAGAUGUGUCUCUACGGUUAGAAACGGCAGUGGUUGGCCACAGAAGAAGAAACAAAAAACUGGCUAUUCAUCCCAUAUGAAUCCAUCAUCACAUUAAUGCUCUCAGCUCUCAGCUUUUCCAAAAAAUGCGCUCCACAAUCGCGAAAAUCCCAUUUCAAGUACAAAUGUAUCCCUCCUGCUCGACAGCCCCUGGAGGAUUUGGUACCUCAAAACUCGGGGACGUAACGUAACGGAUAGAUUCAAAAGCUACACGGACGCCUAAAUGUAUGCAAUUUUAAAAGUUGCUUCUAAUACUGACGAAUAGGUGGCGCUACUGUACUGCUCGUUUGCUCCGCAGAACAGUAGGACAAGUAAUGGAAAAAGGAAUGUGACCUUAAGCAAUGAAAAUAGAAUUAAGAAAUUAAAACCCUU